UCGUGUUCUCCAAGGCAGCCAUAUUUGUGUCAAAGAAAAGUCGGGCUUAUGAUUUAAUCGGUGCUGGGGCUUUAACUGCUAUUGCCAGAAACCUAGAGUCUUUUGAGUUUUGAAGUUAUUGCUGAUAGUUUGUUAGUUGAGUGGCCAGAUAAGAGAAGAAACUGAGCAAGGCGACCUUUCCAGUUGUUUUUGCAGUCAAUCUGUGCACCAGCUUUGCUGCCAGCACUCUGAGCUUGGCAACUGAUACAGCCACCAAGGAAGACAAGAACAGAUUACCAGUUGGUUUCAAACAUGUCCAGUGUCCAGCACCAGCGUAAGGUCGUAGAACAGCUACGUCGCGAGGCACAGUUACAGCGCAAGCCAGUGUCGGCAGGGACGCGCAAUAUCAUUAAUUAUUGCAAUCAAAACAUGAGCAGUGAUGCUCUCGUUGUUGGGUUUGCUUCCCCGAAAGAAAAUCCAUUCAAAGAAAAGAGCAGCUGUGUAAUACUAUAGGGAUGAACAGAAACUGGCUUUCAUGGGACUUUUUUUUCUUUUGCUGUGUCUGGGUUAUGUCCUCUAGUCAUACCCUCACCACCAGUAUAACAACUUCUGAGCUAACCAAGUUUUAUAAGACAAUGAUAUAAAUAUAUAUAUAUAAAUAUAUUGUCCCCAUAUGUUGGAUGUAUAUGAAUUUCUAUGUAUUAGCCUUGGGAGGUUUAUAUUUUGUAUCUGACUGAAGUAAAGAUAAUCUGAAAUGAAAAAUGUGAUACAAAUCAGAAAUACGGAGAUUAAUUAGAUGCUUAAUUUAAUCUGUAUAUCCUCUGAAAUCCUUGCCCUGAAAAUGUUCUUUUUUCCUACCAAAGAUAAAUAAAGAGUUUCAUUGAUCUUUUCCCUUGCCUCUAUUUAUAAUCUUGAGUCAUUUACCUGAAAAAUGCUAAGAAUAUUUUUCCAGUUUAAUGGAACUUCCCUGCAAUUGUUUCUGUCUAUCAUUAUAGGUGGCAGCACCAGCCUGUCACAAAAAGCAGUCUUGGUAGCUUGUCUUGGUGAACAUACCAUAGCAUGUAUUAAAAUCAACGUAUCCAGUAAUAUUUGUCAGUCAAAUUAACCAGCUUGAAAGUUUAUUGAUAUUUACUCGUCUGAUGUUUGUGUUGUGUAAAAAGCUCUGUCGUUCUCGUGUUUACAAGUGGAAAAGAUAAGGUUUUGUACAUCCCAUGCUGACGAGUUUUAUUUGUAGAUCAAAAUGGCUCUAUGGCCACCAGUUUGUUGCCCACUGCCCAUGGGAGACUAUUCAACUCUUGGUAUUUACUGUCUUUACUCAGGGGCAAGUUACUUUGAAACAUAAAAAAGAAAAAACUUUGUAAGUGACCAUGAAGGUACAGUCCAGUCAAAAAAUUGUCAAAAAAAUUGCAAGUUUUUUCCACUUGUCAUCUUGAACUGAGCUCAAAUCUUUGUCUGCAUCUUGUGUAAUAUUGUAUUGUGGUUUCCAGUGUUCUGUGUAUAUAUCUACUACAGUAUGCUUCUGUACUGAAAUAAACUCUUCUUGGGUGUUUAAAACUUUA
Lingula anatina is the source of this 1538-nucleotide RNA transcript. It is a transcript of the gene named guanine nucleotide-binding protein subunit gamma-1, with no coding region annotated. The record is from RefSeq and is a predicted model, not a curated record. NCBI's taxonomy places the organism in Eukaryota, Metazoa, Brachiopoda, Lingulata, Lingulida, Lingulidae.